GCUCCUUCGCAAGACCUGGCUCACCAUCAUGUGCAUCCGCUGGGCUCGCUGCAACAGCCCACCGUCGCCGCACGAUCUGGCCACUUGAUGGACACAGACACGAGCUCGGACUCAUGCACCAUCCGGGCACAGGCAUGGCUUAAUGUCAACACUGCUCAAUGCAGGUUUGGAGCCGACCAAGGAAGUAACAGUUUAAGAGCUCGAGGAGGAGGGGCGUGUGGAGGUUUCGGCCGCCGGUGGCUGCACUGCUGGUCUUCAUCGCCUGCUCCUGUCAGAUCCAGCAGGACCUAUCCUAUUGGUUCUCCAUCGCUUCACUCUACUUCAUGUACAUAUCUGCGAAGAAGAUGACGACCCUGCCCCUGUUCUUCGCCAGCCACACUCUCCCUUGUGCGCGCAAUAACCAUCAUCGCAGAAGCUUAGCUGAUAGGCGGUGCGCUUUUUAGGGGAAGCGGAGACGAAGAUUUGUAUUGGCCAAAAAGAUGAAGGCGCUAUCGGAAGCACUGGCGAGCAACACAGUCUCAGCCGAUGAAUUGACGAGCUGAGGCGGGCUUCCAAUAGAGAUAACUACUGAUUUUGGACGGCACCUAGACUAUCGUAAAAAGCUAGAUGUGGAACAACUAGCAAAUUCUGUCCGUAGUUGGUCUGGUCUCAAAUAUAAUGUUUCAACAUGCAAAUUGGUAAGAGCACUUCUAUAUAUCUUAGACCCUAAUUUUUAUUACCUCUAAUAUGUAGCCUGUUUCAGAUCCACGUUCCAAUACAAUUCAACAAUGAUUUCAUUCUAUUCUCAUUGGACAAGGAUAGCAGAACAGUGUACAUUUUGGACCCUACUCCUAUUAACCCAUCUACCAAUACAACCCACUCGCAAAAUAUUUGCCCAAAAUUAAAUGGAUUGCAAAACAUUUGCCGAAAGCAAUGUCAAAAGCAUGCCCUGGGUCUAUAUGGAACGAGAAUAUUUUCCUAUGGCAUCAUAAAAUACUAGAUGAUAUUCCGGUUUACAACAGGGAAUUGUCCGGUUAUCGUGUUCCCCUCUUCAUGUCCACAUGGAAAGACGAAAGACUACAUUUACCAUUUUUAAAGGAUGGAUAUGUACUCAGAAAACUAAUUUUGGGCCAAGUGCUAACAUUGAAGGACAAUGAAUGUGAAGAUAACAUGCCAGCUGGUGUACUGGAAUUCAUCAAAUGUAUUAGGAAAAUCUAAAGCAAAACUGGUAGUUCAUUCGGUUGAAGGUGAUUUGUCAAAGAGAAUUCUAGCGGUCAACGGUUAAUAGGCAGUGAGCCGGAGUUUGAUUUGUACUUGAGACAUCACUUAAGAAGUUGUUCAACACAUGUACAUUCUUUUGAAGAUUGCACGCAUAUACAUAUUAUUAAUUUUGGUUUCCCAAUUACAA
Molecule: long non-coding RNA, 1387 nt
Organism: Triticum aestivum (bread wheat)
Lineage: Eukaryota; Viridiplantae; Streptophyta; Magnoliopsida; Poales; Poaceae
Exons: 6
Source: RefSeq, a predicted model, not a curated record